Molecule: long non-coding RNA, 4891 nt
Organism: Triticum aestivum (bread wheat)
Lineage: Eukaryota; Viridiplantae; Streptophyta; Magnoliopsida; Poales; Poaceae
Exons: 4
Source: RefSeq, a predicted model, not a curated record
UUUACUCCCUCCUGGCCGCCGCCGCCGUCUCCUCCUCUUCCUCCUCUCUCCCGUAGCAGAUCCACCUCCCCUUCCUUUUAUUCAUCCUCCACGCGACCAUCGACGAUGUGUGGUUCUAGAUCGGACGUCUCCAUGGAGAGCAGGGAUGAAGAAGCAGGAGAGGCCUGCGGUGGGGCGACCCGAACCGAGGAGAACUCGGCGACAGGGAAAAGAAGCAGCAGUGACAGCGCUUGUCUCGGUGGGGUGGAGCUGCUCGGAAGAUGGAAGGGGACUGUCGACUUGCGGGAGGAGCAGGUGAGUCCGGCCCUUGUUCGCGCUAGAGACACUUCCGACGCCGCAAGCCAGGGCAGCUCGACCAUAGAAGCCCGUAGGAGCAGUAAACCAUGGAGGAUUUGGAGGCUGCUCAUGUUUGUAACAGUAAACCAUGGAGGAUAUGGGGGAUGCAUGACCUUAGAGCAGCAAACCAUGUCAGCCAAGGUAAAUAAGCAACUCACAGUCAUACUGCUCAAAACAUGGAUGUUUGGGAAAAUUUUUCUUAAGAUCUAUAUGAUUUUUGUCUGAAUAGUUAAAGUAUUUCUUUGGACUACUUUGAUUCUCUGAAAAAAUUGUGAGAAGUAAGAUGGUUGGCUUCUCAUGUAGAACUCAAUUUACAGUUACUAUGAUUUUUUAAUUGCCACUAUUUUUCCUUUUCAAUUUUAUAACAAGAUAUGUGCUUUUAUCAGGUUUACACAAAAAAGAUUCAGGAAAUCUAGAUUGGGGGAGCAACAAAAAGCUUCAAAUGUGUAAACUAAUAUAUACGUUACAUAACUUUUUUGUGUUUGCAGCAUAGUCUAGAAAUUUAGUGUAGAGAAACUAAAAUAGUUCAAGAUAAAAAGGUUGUUGUACAAAACGAAUUGUUUGUCCCCGUUUAUCUUGUCAUUUUGUUACAAAUGAAAACAUAGUCGGGAAAAAUCAUGGAACGGUUUCUGUCAUGAAGCAUGAGAAUGAUAGUACCUGAAAUUGCGAGAGCUGGCCUUCUAUCUUUUUUCACAAGUACUCUGUUUUUCGUAGCUAAUAAUGAUGGUUGCAGCUUAUAAUUGCUGAACUAUCCGGCGUGGUGUGGGCAUGUUGUAAUUACAUCCUUUGAUAUUUCUAUGCAAUAUUUGGUUCAUUUGGUAUUCAUAAAUUCAUUUAUGUCCAGUAGGAAGGAAGAUGCAUGAAGUUCCUAUUUUCUUGGGUGACCUCAGUUUCCUAAUGAUAUCUUCAUAGCAUACAGAUGGUUGCCAAUUAGCUUAUAUCAGUUUCCUAAUAAUAUCUUCAUAGCAUACUUUUUUGGGAUAAUGGUGACCAAAACGCCCCGGUUUCUCUAAUUUGUAGGAAUGAAAAUCUUGAAUUGCUUUUGAUGGAUUUCUCACUCAUCAAAAUAAAGCCACCAGCCUACACAUAGAGGUUGAUUAAUCACUCUGGCCAGUCGUUCUGUUUUUCUAUGUUGCGGAAUAGGAAUGUCGUAUGAUCAUUUAUUUCCUCUGCGUCAUUUUAAGUUCUACACCUUAUCUCUUAUUAUGAUAAAUCAUCAAUAUCAUACGUCUGUUACUCUUCCUGAUUCUACAUAUUGUUUUCAGUCAUAGAUUUAGAGUUUUUUUUUCAUGUUCUUGCAAAGCAGAGGUGUUUAAAAAACUAUAGCUAUUUUACUGCUUUUUGGAUGGUAUGAAAUGCUUAUACUAAAUUUCACAAGUAUGUUCAUGUCUUUCUAUAUUUAUACAAUGUAUGUUGUGUUGCUCAAUGCUCACUACCUCUGGUAUUAAUCUCUCUUGCAUUCCUUUACUAAUACUUUUAUCUUGUGCUUCUAAAUACUACAAUCUGAUCAAAGCCUUACGCCUCUGCAAAAUGGCGAGGUCUUCGUGGCACUAAAAUCUGGUAUUUACCUCCGUUUUCUGCCGUCAACUGUUAAUGAAAGUAGUACGAUGCCUAAUUUUGCCUUCUGUCGAUUUUUUUCUUAAGGUAACUCUAAACUUAGGUUGAUGCCUUCGCUAACUUUAAUUUUGUGUCCUGAUGCUAUGGCCUAAUUUUUUCUAUUGUCCUUGAGCACCCCGUAGCUAAUAUAAUGUGAAUAGGAGUUUAGUUUGCUACUUAUACAACAAUAGAUCCAUUUUUGUAGCUGCCAGAUAUUAUUCUUCCUGUCCCAAAGUGAAAGCAUGGUUUCUCAUGUUAAAACCCCAAGAUAUUGUAUAGUAUCUGAUGACCAUCAUCACAAUAUUGACAAAGGAUCAGUAAUUGAUUUCUUUUUUUGAGAAAAAGCCCUGCGCUUAUAGAUUAUCAGGGUUCAGGUUACAGUCAUUUGAAACGAACUGUCUCAGCACGUAAGGAACAUUAGCGAUCAGUAGACUGUCUCCAUGAGCUCUUGCAUAGUCAGCCAGUUUGUGAGCCAAAACAUUGCGUUCUCGAUUCAUUGCCGAGGCUGACGCCGAUGCAAAGGAAUCCAUCAUAUCUUUCACAUCCGAAAUGAGUGGGAACAAGGCCGACUUGUCCUGUGAUUUAGGUUGGAGCAGGUUUGAGACCGCAACGCAGUCUGUCAUGCAGAUGGCGCCUCUCUAUACUUUCUGCAGUUCCAACAACCCCACCUGUAUGGUCGUUAACUCUGCCUCAUCAACAUUCUUGAAUGGGAGUACUCGCCUACAAAUUGACAGUGCCACAGCCCCGGUCUGACCUCUGACCACAACACCCACGCUGUUAUGCCCCGUUUCAGCACUAAAAGAAGCAUCUGCAUUCACUUUCCAUACGCCAGCCCCGGGUGGCUUCCACUGGUUGGUUUUAACGUGUUGCACCUCAUGCAAAGGAUCAGCUAUAGCCGACCAGAUAUUCUUCCCUCUUUCAUCAUUUUUCUCCCAAUGGCUUCCCUUAAAAUCCUUCCAGUAAUUAUGUAGAAAGGCGACAGUCAAGACAUGAGCUAUCCAGUGUAGGUUCAAACAAUUCAUUCAUUCAUUGCAGGUUCGGCAUGUCUCAUUAUGUCUUUUUGCUUCAUAUUCAGGGUCAAACUGGGCUAUAUUUAUUUCAUUGAGGCGAGGGUGAUUCCAGCAGAUUUUGCUUGGCGUACUCGCCUUUUUUCUUGAAGUUGGGCGUCGUCUCUGCGGCAAGGUUUCUGGUAGAAUUACUAGAAGUAGCGGAUCUACUUUUAUUUGCUGUCCUAGCUUGCCAUCAACUUAUGCCAACGACGCAAGGUAUGAUGUUUGAUUAAUAGCUAUUCUUAGAGGAUGGAUCCAAAUAUUGUUUAAUUUGCCGGUUCUAUACUUGGUUGCAAUUUUUUACUGAAUGAAUGGCUCACUUUUUUUUGGAAAAGGAGGUUAAAACCCCCGGCCUCUGCAUCAAUCGAUGCAUACAAUCAUCACAUUGUUACGUCUCCUAACAUAUAUGUACAUUUUCUUAAGCCUUAAAGUGUAGUUAGCACAACAUACAGACACACUUUGGUCGUGGGAUUAGCUUUCUCAUUAAAUUAUUUAAAUUGGUAGCUCAGAAACUAACUCUGUAGGUCUAUUAAAUCUUCUGUAGACCCACAUAUUUGAUAUUACCUGAAAAAUAAGGAGGUUACCUUUUCCUUUUAAUACCUGGAACCAAAUUGUUUGAUACCAAUUGUAUCUGGGCGCAGUUUCAUACAAGAUACAGCUUAGUAGCAAAAAAAUUUGCCCUCUAUCUUAUUUCUCCAUACAUUGGAUUCAUAUUUGUUCCAAAUUUACAUCAAGAAGCCUCUAGGCAUUUGUACUUUCAGAAUCAUUCUGAAACUGUGGUUCAGAGCAGAGAGCAUUUAAUAAGGAUGGUUCUAUUUCUGAAUCUUGCUCUAAUACCUAAAAGGUGAAAUUGGGCAUGAUUUUGAUAUUUGUUUUACAAGAUAUUACAUCGAUUUUCUGGUUUGGGCAUACUUAUAAUUGUUUUCUUCAGACUACAUCUUAGCAUGCACUUUUGUAGACUAUUCUUGAUUAGAAGAUGUAUAUGAAUGUGAGCAACAGAGUUCUUUACUCCUAGAAAUUGCACACGCCAAUGAAAUUCAUGUAUCCCUUGAUAAGUCUCUCAGCAUUUUGCUUUCGUUCGUAGAAUUAAAAUUUGCCAUCAAACAAACAAAUAGUUGUGUUACUAAGUUUAUUCUGUAAUUUGCAUGACAGUUUUGCAUAGGCUUGGUUUGUUCUGACAAAAGGUUGUUUCACACAACAUUAGAAUUUUAGUUUCUCCAUAGCUUUGGUUCAGUGGUAGCUUUAGCCUUUUUACAUGUGUGAGUAGGUGUUUCUUUCCAUUGACAUUAGAACAAAAUAGGUCAUGACAUGUUAAAUUAUUAAUAAUGGUCCAGAUUCAAAAAGAGUCUAUGAUGUAGAGAUUAAUAUGCUUAUAAAAUUCCCUCCUUUCUCAUUAUAAGUUACCUUUUUAUUCUGAGCUGGGUUCUAAGUGUAAAGCUAAUUGGUUUUCUGAAAACACUGCAUCUAUAGUAUAUAUCUACACCAGAUAGAUUGUUCAUUUGUUUCUUAGAAAAGAGUUAUUUUAGCUAAUCUUUGGUACCGAUGGAAUAUGCAGUGAUUACUCCCAUAACCUAUGAUAAAGUAAUAUAAUUACCAUUUUCGGUCAACUUUCCAACACAUUAUGUCCAUGCAGUAACUAACAUUGUGUAUUUUUACACAGAUUUGUUCAUCGCAUGAAGCAAGGAAUUGAGGCGGCCAUCCACUUCAUAUUGUUAACUGGAUGGUGUCGCAGUAUGCUUUAUGAAAGCAACCUAAAUAAAUUGUUGUAAAUAACCCUAAGGAUUUUCUUUACCUUGAACUAUCUUUAAUCCUUUCUUCUUGCUUCACUUGAUGCUUUUGGACUUCAUGCUGCCAUUGACCGGAAUGUAAAACGUUAUAUUUCUGAAUGCGCUGUGUAUGAGAUCUCUGAU